This 73-nucleotide transfer RNA is filed under the name Urocitellus parryii (Arctic ground squirrel). RNAcentral's name for it is "Spermophilus parryii (Arctic ground squirrel) tRNA". It matches the Rfam family "tRNA". From Rfam's summary of the family: Transfer RNA (tRNA) molecules are approximately 80 nucleotides in length. The record is from Rfam by way of RNAcentral. Lineage: Eukaryota; Metazoa; Chordata; Mammalia; Rodentia; Sciuridae. RNAcentral also lists the same sequence under 1 other name.
GGGGGUAUAGCUCAGUUGGUAGAGUGCUUGCCUUGCAGACAUAAAGCCCUGGGUUCAAUCCCCAGCACCACCA